GGAAAAUAAAAUUUGUGGUUUUUGGAGAGAAAACAUAAUUCUGGCGGAAAACAUGAUUUGUGGUUUUUGUCAUAAAACUUGAUUUUGUGAUUUUUGUGGAAAGAACUCAACUUUGUUAUUUUGUCUGAAAACAAUUUUACUGUUUUAGCAAUAAAACACAGAUUGUGUGAUUUUGGCAAAACGUAUGAUUCUAUAUCUUGUGAGUUUUUACUUGUCUGUCAAACUUCUUUGCAGAGCCAUAUAUAUCCAUGUCGUAUGGUUUGACCAUCUUGUCUCUCUGAGCCAAAGUAAACCACAAACUGAAUCAGAUUUCUAAAAGAAGCCAAAACACGAAGACAAAAUCAACAUUCCUUUUUUACUUCUUUGUCGAUCUUCUGUGCAGAACCAUAUCAAUGUUGUCCAUCAGACACUGGUUUGACCAUCUGGUCUCUCUGAGACAGAAUAAUACACAAACUGAAUUAGAUUUCUAAUAGAAGCCAAAACACAAAGACAAAAUCAUGAUUAUUUUUACCUCUCUCUCUACUUUCUCGGGUGGGUCGAGUCUGGAUUAUCUUUUAUUUAAUCUAUAUCUAUAUAUAUAUAUAUAUAUAAAAUAGUGUUUUCUUCCUCCUAGUGCUACCACGUCAUUAAGUAGAGGGAGGAGAACACGCCACGUGUCCAAUUCUCUUAAAAGUUUGUCGGACGAACUUCGUAUUGUAUCUUUCCUUGGAUAUUUCUUUUAUAAGAGCCCAUUAGAAGCUUGAGGCCCAUAACUUCUUUCUCUUAUACACCUCCAUUAACCGUGCAAAUCGACGCCGUCAGCUUCAACCUAAAUCCCACAGCCUCCCAAAAUACGCCUAUGUAACGUUAAAGAUCAACAUUCAAUCGACGUAAUUGUGAUCACCAUUAACGACAUUUAAACUAUACCUUCCAUGACUUCUCAUUCAAUUCUCCUCUCUCUCCACCAUUGUUACUCUCCAAAUCUAAUCUAUAAAUAGCGAUAUCUUAUUUUACUGUUUCACAUCCCUCCUCCUCAUUCCUAAUUCUUAAUCCUCGGUCCUCUGUGGUAACAUCCAGAAUGCGAGGUUCAAAACUUCUCCUACUCCCAAACAUAGAAUCAUCAGUCACUCUUCGCUCAAAGCCUCUAAAUUUGUUUUCGUAAUCGAGAGCUACCGCCACGACUACAUGGUCAUUCCUAUGUCUCCGACCAAUCCUUUUUAAUUCCCGACAUGUUAAAUCUCCGUUAUGUAUCCGUUGACAUUGCUGCUAAUCUGGCUUCGAUCACUGCCGGUAUGACUCUCUGCAAGGUUUGUGACAGUGGAGAGAAGCAAAACCUAAGGAUUCCCCGCCGGAGUGUAUCUGACGGUUGGUAUCGGUGGUGGGUACGGUAAUAUCUUAAGAGAAUUUGGAUUAUCAGUCGAUAACUUUGGGACUAUCGUAGCCGUAAAUGGUAUUUAUUUUUUAGACCGGAAGUCCAUAUUUGAAAAUCUUUUAUGGGCAAUCUUUGGCAUAGGAGGAACCACGUAGUUGCGUCUAGGGAAGAAAUUUAAGACGUUACGAACCACGUUAGUUGCGUUUGGAAGCUGAUUCAAACCAUGAUGGGAAGAAAGUUGAGACGGUGAGAGCCACGGUAAUUGCGUCUUUUUAGUAUGUCUUUUAAAAUAUUGAGAUUGCUUUUGAAUCUUUGCCAAGUAUGUGUUAAUGAGACGAACAAAGCAUAACUCUAAGUCCGACUAAAACUUUGAAACUGUGACAGUUUAAUAAAAAAGACUUUGUGCCAGAAACAGAGCAGAUGAUGAACUGUUAUUAACCAUAUUAAGAUUUGCUAGCAUCUGAAAUUACGUCCGUGACCCAUAUAUAGUGUUGCUUGAAAGUAAACUUUCGUUGAAUAAUAUAGCAAGACAUCAAAAAUUAAAUAAAGUGCUCCAAAAUUUAAUUAAAUAACUAUACCACCGUAUAUUAAAACUACAAAAUCAAAAAAAAAAAACAAAUAUUUAUAACACAAAUAUAUAGACAUCCCGCGCGUAGCGCGGACCGACCCUAGUUUUAAAUAUGUUGCGGUAUCUUCUUUUUAUACUGCAUGGUAACAAUAUUUAUAUGUUUCAGAAAAAGAAGAAAAGACAGAACAUGAGCUUCUUUUAUUGUGUGUUAUAGGCCUGGGCGUUUUAUACUGCAACCGAAGCCCAAAGUGGAACCCGAACCGAAGUCUCAGUAUUGGACCGGUAACGGGCCUAAGAAAAAAACCGAAUGGAUUUUGUAGCCCACGAAUUUCGGUUAUGGUCUGGUUCGGUUGAAAACCGAAAUCAAAACAAGUAACCGAACAAUACCGAGCAUUUAUAACACUGUCUCAUGUAUAUAUACAUUCAUUUACACAUAUACACGCGAAAGGAUACUGUCUCUUCAUUUCUUGAACGCGUGAGCCGACGAACCCUAAUUCCCAAUAAAAAUUUCUCUUGAUUAUUGAUUAUCAUCAUUCAAAAACUCAAACUGGCCACUAUAAAUCAGUUAGCCUCUCCAUCUUCUUCUUCAUCCGAGCAUUCGAGAAUUCAGUCACAGAUGGACUCUACAUCAUCUUUUAACCGAGAAACCGACAACAUGGAUGAUGCAGGCAACAUUCAAACACCGGAUAGUACUAGCGGCAAGAGGAAAGAAACCGAGGAAUCUAGUGGAGCGACAAACAAUGUGAAGUGUAUUCUCCCAACAAGGUACAAAGUGUGGGAACACUACACAAGGAUGAAGGAAGAUCGAAACAAGUGUGUAUGCAACUACUGCCAUAACACAUUUUCGUGUCUCACAAGCUCAGGGACCUCAAAUCAUAAGAGCCAUCUUGAGAAUGUAAGAGUCAUCUUGCUUGGUCGGAUGGACAAGAAGAUAAGCAGCCAACCAUUGACGAUGAAGGGAAACUUACGAAGGCAAAGUUGACUGAAGCUCAGUUGAGAGAAGCCACAAAUCAGAUGAUUGUCUUAGGACAAUUGCCGUUGUCAUUUGUUGAAAGUGUAGCUUGGAGACAUUUCUGUAACAAGGUUAACUUUGGAUACACUCCUCAUUCAAGAAGAACUGAGACUAAAGUCAUUAUCAAGAUGUAUGUGGAAAGGAAAGAACACUCAAGAAAUGGUUCUUGUCUAACAAUCAACGAGUAUCUUUGACAACAGAUACUUGGGUCUCCCCAACUACAGGUAAUCCUUUACACAUUUUCUGACCCUUUAUACACAUUUUUGAUUCGUUUAUACAUCAUGGAGUUCUUACUGUUCAUUGUAUACAGGUGCGAGUUACAUGGUCAUCACAGUGCACUAUAUUGAUGCUUCUUGGCGGUUGAAGAAGCUGAUCAUUGGGUUCAAACACAUCACAGAUCAAAAAGGUCAGACUAUAGCAAAUGUUUUACUCGAGUGCUUGUCUGACUGGGGAAUAAUAAAUGUUUUCUGCAUAACCGUUGAUAAUGCAAUUGCCAAUAGUUCAGCGUUGAGGAAGUUUCAAAGUAGUUUUGCUUUAGGUUCUGAUCAGGCUUUCGUGUUAGAUGGAGAGUUUUUACACAUGAGAUGCAGUGCCCAUAUCAUUAACUUGAUAGUUAGAGAUGGAAUGGCUGAAAUAGAUCAGAGUGUUGUUGCUAUCCGUAAUGUUGUCUCCUAUGUUAGAUCACAUACUAACAAGUUGAGAUCUUUUGAGCUAAAAGUUGACUCCGGUAAGAUUACAAGGGGAAGUCUUCCGUUGAUGUGAAGACAAGGUGGAAUUCAACUUAUCUAAUGUUGACAACAGCUCAAAAGUUCAAGGUGGCUUUCGAUAAGAUGGAAGCAGAAGACAAGCUCUACAAUGAUCAUUUCUCUGAGUUUGAAAAUGGAGCAUCAAGGGUUGGGCCUCCUCAGCAAAGGGAUUGGAGUGUUGUUGAGAAGUUAUGUCGACUUCUUAUCAUCUUCUACAACUCGACACUGGUGGUCUCGGCUUCAACUUCACUCAAUUCACAUAAGUGCUAUGGUAAGAUUGUAACCAUUGCGACUAAUCUGGUAGGACUCUCCAGCAGCCCUGAUUCUGAGAUGAGGUCUAAGGCGUCAGAUAUGCUCAAGAAGUUUGAGAAGUAUUGGGAUGACAUGAAGAAUAUUAACAUGAUGUUAAUUGUGGCCACUGUUUUCGACCCCAGCAACAAGUUGGAGCUUGCCAAGAUGUGUUUUGAAGAGUUAUAUGGGCUAGAGACUACUGAGUAUAAGGAGAUGCAUGACUCCUUGAUUUGUGUCUUGAGGAGUUUGUUCAGAGAGUACAGUUCAAGACAUGGAGCCGCGCUUGAUCCAAGUGACAAAUUUUCCCACUCUAACAACUCAAGUCAGUCUAGAGACCAAUGUAUUGAAAGUGAAAGGAUGGAGCUUGUGGACGACUGUGUGGGUUACAAAAGAAUGGAUGUCAGGUACAAGCAGAAGCUCAACGAAAUAGGGGUUAGAGAAGAAGGGUGAGCUAAAAACAUACCUUAAAGAGUCUGUGGAACACCCUGACCUGAUGAUUGGAAUGGAGUAUGAUGUGCUCUCAUGGUGAAGAAAGAACUCAGCUAAGUAUCCUAUCUUGUCUUCGGUUGCUCGGGAUGUCUUGGCUUUACAAGUCUCGUCAAUUGCUUCUGAGAGUGCCUUUAGUACAUCUGGUCGGCUUCUCGAACCACACCGGAGCUCUCUAACCCAUUACAUGGUGGAGGUUUUAAUGUGCACAGAGCAGUGGCCGAAGCAAGACAUAAAGAUGGAGUCAAGAGUGCUUUCAAAUGCUCAGAUACUAGCUGAUCUUGAAGAAGUGGACAUGCUUGAAAGAGAGUGUGGAGACACAAUAGUUCCAGAAGAAGACUAAGGCUUUAUUGUUGCUUAAGAAGAUCAUGGCUAUGUGAACACUUUGUUUCUUUGUUUCGGUUUGAGGUUUAUGUUUUUUUCUUGCAAUUUGAUCACUUUCUUUCGGCUUGAAUGUUGGUUAUGCAAACAAAAAAAAAUCUCAACUAGUGUGUUAAAGUGGAUUUUCCACAUACAUUCUUGAGAGGUUCUGCAAAGAAGUCUUUAUUAAUGACUAGAUAAGGCUCGUGCGUUGCAACGAGUUUUGUUUGAUGUUUUAGUAAAAAUAUAAAAAUAAUAAAUC
This is a long non-coding RNA of Brassica napus (rape), 5076 nucleotides long. RefSeq lists it as uncharacterized. The record is from RefSeq and is a predicted model, not a curated record. Lineage: Eukaryota; Viridiplantae; Streptophyta; Magnoliopsida; Brassicales; Brassicaceae. The transcript is spliced from 4 exons.